UUUAUAUAUGGAUCUUGAUUCAUUUUCAUGUAUAAUAUCAUAUAAUCAUUAUUUGUAUUAUUGAUUUCUAACAGUUAUUUUUUUUCAAUUUAAAAUUUCUCUCUGAAAUUUAGCUUUUUUUUUUAGUUUAGUCCGUUUGUUUCUAUUGAUAUUGUGGGGCUGUCUCCUACCUUUCUGAGUGGGGGACAAUCGUCCACUUCCCUGUCCAGAAAGUUUGCGAUGCUUCAUUGGUUCAUCUCUGUCUUUAGCUGUUCCUGCUUGCACCAAGUUUGCUGGGUAUAGAUCGCGUUCUUCAUCUGUUGUCAAGUCUCAACAAUAGAGUGUAGACUCUAGUGGGGGACUCGCGGUAACCAAAAGUUUCAGAAGGCGAGUGGAUCACUGAAGAGGAUCUUGACCUCCGCCCUUGUUGAUGCCGUAAAUCUGCCACCCUCUCAUGACCAAUGCUGCUCACUACUGUGAUGAGAUCUUCUUCGAUCAUUUCUACAUGUAGUGGUGUCUCUCCGCUUCAUAUAUGGGAGAGAUCUUUUUGUUUGGCCUUUACGUGUUGGAAAUCGCUUGGAUCUCCCUACUUUCGGCUCCAAUUACCUUUACAUGUUCUGGCUGAAGCUCCCUCUUCCAUUGUUGUCUUGGUCGAGCUAUUGGUGUAUGGAUGUGGCGGAGGCGAAAAGGGAGGGAUGGGUUUUGGGUUGUUCCCUUGAGUGAUCUACCGGUUUCUAUUCGGCCAUGCUCUGGGCCUUAGCCAUUUGAUAUGGGCUGGAUUUGUUUUUUGUAAUUUUAUUGUAAAAUGAUAAACAAACAUAUAUGAUCCAAAUUAAAGAAAACAAUGAACUUGUGCAAAUCUGUGGAAAUGAAUUUUGCUUUAUUACAAGUC
Manihot esculenta (cassava) is the source of this 871-nucleotide long non-coding RNA. RefSeq lists it as uncharacterized. NCBI's taxonomy places the organism in Eukaryota, Viridiplantae, Streptophyta, Magnoliopsida, Malpighiales, Euphorbiaceae. The transcript has 2 exons. The record is from RefSeq and is a predicted model, not a curated record.